RNAcentral lists this ribosomal RNA (643 nucleotides) under uncultured Bacteroidales bacterium. RNAcentral's name for it is "bacterial SSU rRNA". It matches the Rfam family "Bacterial small subunit ribosomal RNA", at positions 106 to 746 of the family's 1533-position model. Lineage: Bacteria; Pseudomonadati; Bacteroidota; Bacteroidia; Bacteroidales. The record is from RNAcentral.
GUGAGUAACACGUAUACAACCUGCCGUCUACUCUUGGCCAGCCUUCUGAAAGGAAGAUUAAUCCAGGAUGGGAUCAUGAGUUCACAUGUCCGCAUGAUUAAAGGUAUUUUCCGGUAGACGAUGGGGAUGCGUUCCAUUAGAUAGUAGGCGGGGUAACGGCCCACCUAGUCAACGAUGGAUAGGGGUUCUGAGAGGAAGGUCCCCCACAUUGGAACUGAGACACGGUCCAAACUCCUACGGGAGGCAGCAGUGAGGAAUAUUGGUCAAUGGGCGAUGGCCUGAACCAGCCAAGUAGCGUGAAGGAUGACUGCCCUAUGGGUUGUAAACUUCUUUUAUAAAGGAAUAAAGUCGGGUAUGCAUACCCGUUUGCAUGUACUUUAUGAAUAAGGAUCGGCUAACUCCGUGCCAGCAGCCGCGGUAAUACGGAGGAUCCGAGCGUUAUCCGGAUUUAUUGGGUUUAAAGGGAGCGUAGAUGGAUGUUUAAGUCAGUUGUGAAAGUUUGCGGCUCAACCGUAAAAUUGCAGUUGAUACUGGAUGUCUUGAGUGCAGUUGAGGCAGGCGGAAUUCGUGGUGUAGCGGUGAAAUGCUUAGAUAUCACGAAGACUCCGAUUGCGAAGGCAGCCUGCUAAGCUGCAACUGACAU